This 332-nucleotide unclassified non-coding RNA is filed under the name soil metagenome. RNAcentral describes it as "partial contains 5.8S ribosomal RNA, internal transcribed spacer 2, and large subunit ribosomal RNA". The stretch from base 1 to 120 matches the Rfam family "5.8S ribosomal RNA", at positions 35 to 154 of the family's 154-position model. The record is from RNAcentral.
GAUGAAGAACGCAGCGAAAUGCGAUAAGUAGUGUGAAUUGCAGAAUUCAGUGAAUCAUCGAAUCUUUGAACGCACAUUGCGCCCUUUGGUAUUCCUUAGGGCAUGCCUGUACGAGCGUCAUUUAAACCUUCAAGCUCAGCUUGGUGUUGGGUGACUGUCCGCUUCACCGCGGACUCGCCUCAAAAUUAUUGGCGGCCGGUACAUUGGCUUCGAGCGCAGCAGAAACGCGAACUCGGGCCCGUCGUAUUGGCUCCCAGAAGCUAUCUUCACAAUUUUGACCUCGGAUCAGGUAGGGAUACCCGCUGAACUUAAGCAUAUCAAUAAGCGGAGGA